UUGGAAAAGUGUACAGUGCUGGAUAUCGGGUCUGACUGGGGUACGUGGAGGUUCUGUAAUUGAAAUAUUCUAAUUUAACGGUAAAUAAACCGAAAGUCGCGGGAUACGAAAGAAGUUACCACAGAAUGGAAUGACCACAGAACAAUCAGCGCUAGGACGAGCCUACGCACACGUUUUGUGACGAUACGGAGGAGUGCGCAAGUUCGGAGUUCACAGCAUCUGCAACUUCAGCUACGAUGGACACACAGCGAAGCAUGAAAUCGGCACCAGCGAAGGCGGACGAACGCCUCUGCGCAACGAGGAGAGGCCUCUGCUGAACUGCGCCGUCAAAGCAGCAUUCACGCUGCGGCUGUUCGUCCUGGAGCGGAGCUGAGGGCCGUGAAAACCAUGCACAUGACCAACAACGCACGCUAUAUAUAUUCACUCGUACCGUGCAGAAAAUGGCACGACGUAGGUGCGCCACAUAAUUGCAAUACCUGUACAGGGGCCCGGAGAGGGCAAAAUGUAUUUUGAAAACAAAUUCUGACUCGGCAUAGAGCCGUCCCCUCCAAAGGUUCUUCCAGCACGCCACUUGCUUCAAAUCAGGGUCAAAAAAAAAAAAAAAAAGAACGCGAAUUCCAUCUAUGAUGUGCGUGACAUCAGCGUUGUCUAGUCUUAUAUGCGAUGUAUCUUGGAGGACUGCCGAAUAUACUUAUAGAGCGCUCAAAAUAAAAACGCGAUUUCUUUUAAAAGAAACCGUAUAAAUAAGAACGGCGGACGGCGGAAAACAGACUAAGGUACAAAAUUUCUCGCUAAUUAUUUAUAUACACUAAUUAGCCUUAACUAGCACAUUUGUAUGGCUUUAGAGAAUGAAAAGUUCGUGGUAGUUGUCGAAGUGAUCAGCUAUCAAUUUUCAAAUCGCGCGAGAAGUCAUUCUCCUAGGUCCUACAGCAGAAGAAAUAUUCUUACUUUUUCCGCUGGGAAACUGAAACUGGGCGCUUGUGGGGAAACCACGUGUACAAACCGUACCACGCAAUGCGAGCCACCUUUAUUACUUCGAUGUGCCGAUUACGGCUCAUGAAGUGUCCUUGGCUUCAAUGUGACGUUGGCACUGCAGAAUAUCGGCAAUGACCUAUCAUUGACACCGCUAAUGUAAUUCUUUCCUUAGUGCUAGAAAUGUGCUUAUUUUCAGUGAUUUUGUUUUAACGUUUUAUUUCAAGACGUAGUAGUCGCAACGUAUGGGACACAUAAUGUUCACUGGUGUUUUGAAUGGAUGGAAAGCAACAAUACCUCGAUUUGGUCGAGUUGGUACAUCUUGACGGUGUUCAAAAAACGCUCUAAAGACGAAGACGACAGGAACACAUACGAUAGAACGGGAUCUGAAUUUCCAAUUAUAGCGUUUAUUUCAAACGAUCGUCCAUUUUACGCUUUGCACACCAGGUACUUCAUGCACGCAUCAUCAUAGCGAAGAUUGUAUGCGCCAGAGCCACGGUAGCGUUCCGCCUUCCACUACUGGCACGGGCGCUAAGUCAAUCAGUUCAUACAGAAGAUUGUAUAGUCAAUUCGUUCAUGUGUCUAGAUACCUAUAUUUCUUUCGAGGUACCUAUAUAGACACGUAAAAGCAUUGACUACCGAAUCUUAUGUAUGAGAUGAUUGAGUUAUACAAUCUUCUGUAUGAUGAUGCGUGCAUGUUGUACCUGAUGCGCAUAGCAUAAAAUGGAUGAUAGUUUUAAAUAAAGGCUAGUUCAAAGUUCAGUGCCCGUUCUGUCGUAUGGGUACCUGUCGUCUUCGUCUUUAGCGUGUUUUGUGAACACUGUCAAAAUGUAAAGCAGUAAUAACUGUGGAGGCAGUAUUUGAGAACGUUUAUGUGAAACUUCAAAGAAGCACAUCUAGGAACAUCACCGAAAAGAAUAGGUACUGAGAGUAAAAGAAAAUUCCGAAAUAUAAACAAUAUAUGCUGUUAGAUAUGGUACCUUUUCCUGAGCCUACUUCGAGUUCACCAGACCACAUCGAAUCGCGUCGCAGCUAAUUAAGGAGCGCAGAAGCACAUCUAUCCCGUUCCCGAGGCGCGGCACGUGCAAACGAGUUGGCGUCCCACACCUCGUGCGCCGCAGGUGGAGCUAUUCACUGCUUGACUCUUCCCGAAAGUCAGAAUGGCAAUGCGGCCUGUGGGGUGGGCAACACAGCAACAAGGAAGGUCAAGCGGAAAGUCAGAGAGGCUGAAUUAAUCUCAUGGGUGGCGGCAUUGGAAAAGAAACCUGCCAUGAGUAACUACUUAAGAGGAAAAAACGAAAUCAGGAAAGAAACCAUUUAUGAUAACUCAAAGGGAAGCUCAUUACUUUUCGAAGCGAGAUCGGGAUGCCUUAGAACACGCACCUAUAAAGCGAGAUAUAAGAAGGAAGAAGAAGCACGUGCUUGCUGCGGUAAAGCUAGGGAAACGACGAGCAUAUUUUAUUAGAAUGUGAAGACGUCUAUCCAGCGGUCGAUUUAGGCACCACUGGCCUCCUUGAAGCCCUUGGGUUCAGCGGGAGCAGUGGUAAAGCAAACAGGUCCGCAAUAGACAUUAGUAAGAGGCGAUUGGAGGAUUGGUGGAAGAAAAGUAGGGAAACGACAAAGGACGGAGACGUACAAAAACACAAUUCGCAAUAGGGGAUCAGACAGUUUGGACGCGGUAGUUCAUAGUGUUUUUUUUUUUUUUUUUUUUCUUUCAUUGGUUAACCUAGGUAGGAUAUUAGGCAGCAUAGUAGCAAGAGCUUGGUGGCGCAACCCACCGCCCCGUUCCAAAGGGGACGCUCAUAACAUCCAUCCAUCCAUCCAUCCAUCCAUCCGGCAAUACCGCAGAGAGAAGUAAGCGCUCGGACAAUUGGGGUCCAAGGAGCGACCCUGUGCGCCGGGUGUGACACAAUCGCACCGGCGCCUACCAUUGGCCGAAAAUGACGACACCUGAGCGGGCUCGCCGAUUGGCCGAACGUGACGUGACUCUAUGACUGUUAAUUUCUUUGUGCUCUCAAUGUAAAUAAACCUCCAGUUUUC
This is a non-coding RNA of Dermacentor andersoni, 3012 nucleotides long. NCBI's taxonomy places the organism in Eukaryota, Metazoa, Arthropoda, Arachnida, Ixodida, Ixodidae. The record is from RefSeq and is a predicted model, not a curated record.